This 253-nucleotide ribosomal RNA is filed under the name uncultured bacterium. Its description in RNAcentral is "partial 16S ribosomal RNA". It matches the Rfam family "Bacterial small subunit ribosomal RNA", at positions 524 to 776 of the family's 1533-position model. The record is from RNAcentral.
UACGUAGGGUGCAAGCGUUAAUCGGAAUUACUGGGCGUAAAGCGCGCGUAGGCGGCUUUGCAAGUCGGGUGUGAAAUCCCCAGGCUUAACCUGGGAACUGCGUCGGAUACUGGAUGGCUUGAAUUCGGGAGAGGGAUGCAGAAUUCCAGGUGUAGCGGUGAAAUGCGUAGAUAUCUGGAGGAAUACCGGUGGCGAAGGCGGCAUCCUGGACCGACAUUGACGCUGAUGAGCGAAAGCUAGGGGAGCAAACGGG